GAACUGUUUGCUAUCAAAUACAAUGAAUGAGGGAAACAGCCUGAUAUCUGGGAUGAACAUGAGGAUGGAAUAUGGAAACCACCAAAGAUACCAUAUCCGGCAUACAAAGGUGGCUGCUUUUAGGGGUGAGCAAACGGGGCGAAUCCGCUAGAACUGGAUCAAACUAACCCGGAACUGAGAACCGAAUGCGGUGUAUUUCAAGAACCGGAACCGAACCUUAUAAUACAUACACGGUUGUAAUAGGACGAUUUGUUGCUGCUGCUACUACAGCUGUUUCGGUCAAAGGAGUCUUGCCAGCUAUCUUAUUUUGGGUGUGAUCAUUCUGGAAACUCAUCAAGCAUAUGGAUUGCUGGUGCAUUUGCUCUCCAAGCUGCAGGUUUUCACCUUUUUAAAUCUUUUAUCAUCUGACCAAGUUAACCGGUGCAUCAGGAUUUAACUACUGAAACUAUUUUUGAAAGCUCUUAAUUUCUUAAAAGCAUACGUGCUUCAAGACCAAGAGGCACAUGCAACACAGAUGGAGUCAUAUUUUCAUGGAUAUCAAGCCAGAUGGUGUGCGAAGAGGUUGUGCCAGAAGGCCAUGUUUUGGUUCAAGGUGACAUUUGUGAUGAAUUUCUCUCCACAUAUUUGUCUCCAUCAAUGGGAUGGUAAGCAUGACGUGUAAUAAAUUAGUUAUAGGAGAUAAUUUAUGGAUGUACCUCUGUUGUUUGAAGUUGUAGUAAUGAUUACUUAACUCUUAAACUGUAAUUAGAAGUAGAUAUGUUUAGUCCAAAUAUAUUUUUAGAAUACAUUUUUCACCUUCAGUUAAGUUGAAUAAGCUACAUGAAUACCUUGGUGUGAGAUUAGCUAUGAACAAUGCAU
Molecule: long non-coding RNA, 858 nt
Filed under: Helianthus annuus (common sunflower)
Lineage: Eukaryota; Viridiplantae; Streptophyta; Magnoliopsida; Asterales; Asteraceae
Source: RNAcentral